Molecule: long non-coding RNA, 350 nt
Filed under: Androctonus crassicauda
Lineage: Eukaryota; Metazoa; Arthropoda; Arachnida; Scorpiones; Buthidae
Source: RNAcentral
AUUUGUGCAAAAGACUUAAUAACAAUAAUAAUCUUUUCUUCUGCAGCAAUACACGAUGACAUGAAAUGGCAUCCAUACUGUUUGUGAGAAAAAUUUGCUUCUGUAUAAUCACAUAUGGCGAGAAACGAAAGAGCAAGAACUUAAAAAUUUGCUCGCUAAACAUAGCUUGCGAAGGUGAUGAUGAUAGAAAUCACUUGUGUGCUUUAAAUUUGUGUUUGCCUGGCUGUAGCCUUAGAAUAAAAAAAUUCUCUCUAGCAGAACAACCAGUCAGAAGCAAUAUUUGCCCACUGAUGUCAAAUAGUUUGUCUAGAGAGAUGAUUUUUGCUAAGAGCAGCAUAGAUUCCCUGGUG